Molecule: ribosomal RNA, 486 nt
Filed under: Salmonella enterica
Lineage: Bacteria; Pseudomonadati; Pseudomonadota; Gammaproteobacteria; Enterobacterales; Enterobacteriaceae
Also listed under: 2 other names
Description: partial 23S ribosomal RNA
Rfam family: Bacterial large subunit ribosomal RNA
Source: RNAcentral
GAAUGCUGACAUAAGUAACGAUAAAGCGGGUGAAAAGCCCGCUCGCCGGAAGACCAAGGGUUCCUGUCCAACGUUAAUCGGGGCAGGGUGAGUCGACCCCUAAGGCGAGGCCGAAAGGCGUAGUCGAUGGGAAACGGGUUAAUAUUCCCGUACUUGGUGUUACUGCGAAGGGGGGACGGAGAAGGCUAUGUUGGCCGGGCGACGGUUGUCCCGGUUUAAGCGUGUAGGUGUGUGUUCCAGGUAAAUCCGGUUCACUUUAACACUGAGGCGUGACGACGAGGCACUACGGUGCUGAAGCAACAAAUGCCCUGCUUCCAGGAAAAGCCUCUAAGCAUCAGGUAACACGAAAUCGUACCCCAAACCGACACAGGUGGUCAGGUAGAGAAUACCAAGGCGCUUGAGAGAACUCGGGUGAAGGAACUAGGCAAAAUGGUGCCGUAACUUCGGGAGAAGGCACGCUGACACGUAGGUGAAGUGAUUUACUCA